This 447-nucleotide ribosomal RNA is filed under the name uncultured bacterium. RNAcentral's name for it is "bacterial SSU rRNA". It matches the Rfam family "Bacterial small subunit ribosomal RNA", at positions 355 to 825 of the family's 1533-position model. The record is from RNAcentral.
UGGGGAAUAUUGGACAAUGGGCGAAAGCCUGAUCCAGCCAUGCCGCGUGAGUGACGAAGGCCUUAGGGUUGUAAAACUCUUUCGUCGGGGACGAUAAUGACGGUACCCGAAGAAGAAGCUCCGGCUAACUUCGUGCCAGCAGCCGCGGUAAUACGAAGGGAGCUAGCGUUGUUCGGAAUCACUGGGCGUAAAGCGCACGUAGGCGGAUAGUUAAGUCAGGGGUGAAAUCCUGGGGCUCAACCCCAGAACUGCCUUCAAAACUGGCGACCUGGACUCAAGCAGAGGCAAGUGGAAUUGCGAGUGUAGAGGUGAAAUUCGUAGAUAUUCGCAGGAACACCAGUGGCGAAGGCGGCUUGCUGGGCUUGUAGUGACGCUGAGACGCGAAAGCGUGGGGAGCAAACAGGAUUAGAUACCCAAGUAGUCCCUGAGCGGGCUGGCAAGGCGCAU